Molecule: ribosomal RNA, 402 nt
Filed under: uncultured bacterium
Lineage: Bacteria
Description: bacterial SSU rRNA
Rfam family: Bacterial small subunit ribosomal RNA
Source: RNAcentral
UCGGGAAUUUUGGGCAAUGGGCGAAAGCCUGACCCAGCAACGCCGCGUGAGGGAUGAAGUAUUUCGGUAUGUAAACCUCGAAAGAAUGGGAAGAAUAAAUGACGGUACCAGUUAUAAGCUCCGGCUAACUACGUGCCAGCAGCCGCGGUAAUACGUAGGGAGCAAGCGUUGUUCGGAUUUACUGGGCGUAAAGGGCGCGUAGGCGGCGCGGUAAGUCACUUGUGAAAUCUCUGAGCUUAACUCAGAACGGCCAAGUGAUACUGCUGUGCUAGAGUGCGGAAGAGGCAACCGGAAUUCUUGGUGUAGCGGUGAAAUGCGUAGAUAUCAAGAGGAACACCUGAGGCGAAGGCGGGUUGCUGGGCCGACACUGACGCUGAUGCGCGAAAGCCAGGGGAGCAAACG